RNAcentral lists this ribosomal RNA (1345 nucleotides) under uncultured bacterium. RNAcentral describes it as "bacterial SSU rRNA". It matches the Rfam family "Bacterial small subunit ribosomal RNA", at positions 28 to 1380 of the family's 1533-position model. The record is from RNAcentral.
GACGAACGCUGGCGGCGUGCUUAACACAUGCAAGUCGAACGGAAAGGCCCUGCUUUUGUGGGGUGCUCGAGUGGCGAACGGGUGAGUAACACGUGAGUAACCUGCCCUUGACUUUGGGAUAACUUCAGGAAACUGGGGCUAAUACCGGAUAGGAGCUCCUGCUGCAUGGUGGGGGUUGGAAAGUUUCGGCGGUUGGGGAUGGACUCGCGGCUUAUCAGCUUGUUGGUGGGGUAGUGGCUUACCAAGGCUUUGACGGGUAGCCGGCCUGAGAGGGUGACCGGCCACAUUGGGACUGAGAUACGGCCCAGACUCCUACGGGAGGCAGCAGUGGGGAAUAUUGCACAAUGGGCGGAAGCCUGAUGCAGCAACGCCGCGUGCGGGAUGACGGCCUUCGGGUUGUAAACCGCUUUCGCCUGUGACGAAGCGUGAGUGACGGUAAUGGGUAAAGAAGCACCGGCUAACUACGUGCCAGCAGCCGCGGUGAUACGUAGGGUGCGAGCGUUGUCCGGAUUUAUUGGGCGUAAAGGGCUCGUAGGUGGUUGAUCGCGUCGGAAGUGUAAUCUUGGGGCUUAACCCUGAGCGUGCUUUCGAUACGGGUUGACUUGAGGAAGGUAGGGGAGAAUGGGAUUCCUGGUGGAGCGGUGGAAUGCGCAGAUAUCAGGAGGAACACCAGUGGCGAAGGCGGUUCUCUGGGCCUUUCCUGACGCUGAGGAGCGAAAGCGUGGGGAGCGAACAGGCUUAGAUACCCUGGUAGUCCACGCUGUAAACGGUGGGUACUAGGUGUGGGGUCCAUUCCACGGGUUCCGUGCCGUAGCUAACGCUUUAAGUACCCCGCCUGGGGAGUACGGCCGCAAGGCUAAAACUCAAAGGAAUUGACGGGGCCCCGCACAAGCGGCGGAGCAUGCGGAUUAAUUCGAUGCAACGCGUAGAACCUUACCUGGGUUUGACAUGGAUCGGGAGUGCUCAGAGAUGGGUGUGCCUCUUUUGGGGUCGGUUCACAGGUGGUGCAUGCCUGUCGUCAGCUCGUGUCGUGAGAUGUUGGGUUAAGUCCCGCAACGAGCGCAACCCUUGUUCACUGUUGCCAGCACGUUAUGGUGGGGACUCAGUGGAGACCGCCGGGGUCAACUCGGAGGAAGGUGGGGAUGACGUCAAGUCCUCAUGCCCCUUAUGUCCAGGGCUUCACGCAUGCUACAAUGGCUGGUACAGAGAGUGGCGAGCCUGUGAGGGUGAGCGAAUCUCGGAAAGCCGGUCUCAGUUCGGAUUGGGGUCUGCAACUCGACCUCAUGAAGUCGGAGUCGCUAGUAAUCGCAGAUCAGCAACGCUGCGGUGAAUACGUUCCCGGGGC